Molecule: unclassified non-coding RNA, 253 nt
Filed under: Hevea brasiliensis (rubber tree)
Lineage: Eukaryota; Viridiplantae; Streptophyta; Magnoliopsida; Malpighiales; Euphorbiaceae
Source: RNAcentral
GUCUACAUUCUCAUGCAUGGAUUUACUUUGGUGUAGUGCAUGGCCAUUAGUUCCACUUGCCAUGAUGCCUUCACGCCACCUAGCAAUCCCAUGCAACCAAUGUCCCAUGUGCCGCUCCAUUUGGUGCGCUUCACUUUGCAUGAAUUGCUCACUUCAUCUCAUGCAUGUAUUCACUUCACAUUGCAUGUAUUGGCCACUCGUCUCAUGCAUGGUUUCAUUUGGCAUUGCCACGCCACAUGUCCCACUAAAUGAU